Molecule: ribosomal RNA, 366 nt
Filed under: Plagiothecium denticulatum
Lineage: Eukaryota; Viridiplantae; Streptophyta; Bryopsida; Hypnales; Plagiotheciaceae
Also listed under: 1 other name
Description: eukaryotic LSU rRNA
Rfam family: Eukaryotic large subunit ribosomal RNA
Source: RNAcentral
CAGACCUCUAAUCGGAAAAGACUACCCGCUGAGUUUAAGCAUAUCACUAAGCGGAGGAGAAGAAACUAACCAGGAUUUCCCUAGUAACGGCGAGCGAACCGGAAAGAGCCCAGCUUGAAAAUCGUGGUGCCUCGUACCUCGAAUUGUAGUCUGGAGAAGGUCCCUCUGCGACGCGCCGGACCCAAGUUCCCUGGAAAGGGACGUCAGAGAGGGUGACAACCCCGUCGAGUCCGGAAUGCGUCGCUCCACGAGGACCUGUCUGCGAGUCGGGCUGUUUGGGAAUGCAGCCCUAAGCGGGUGGUAAAUUCCAUCCAAGGCUAAAUAUUGGCAAGAGACCGAUAGCGAACAAGUACCGCGAGGGAAAGA